AGAGUUUGAUCUGCUCAGAUGAACGCUGGCGGAAUGCUUUACACAUGCAAGUCGAACGGCAGCAUGGAGAGCUUGCUCUCUGAUGGCGAGUGGCGAACGGGUGAGUAAUAUAUCGGAACGUGCCUAGUAGUGGGGAACAACCCAGCCGAAAGGUUGGCUAAUACCGCAUACGACUACGGGUGAAAGCAGGGGAUCUUCGGACCUUGCGCUAUUAGAGCGGCCGAUAUCUGAUUAGGUAGUUGGUGGGGUAAAGGCCUACCAAGCCGACGAUCAGUAGCUGGUCUGAGAGGACGAUCAGCCACACUGGAACUGAGACACGGUCCAGACUCCUACGGGAGGCAGCAGUGGGGAAUUUUGGACAAUGGGGGAAACCCUGACCCAGCCAUUCCGCGUGAGUGAAGAAGGCCUUCGGGUUGUAAAGCUCUUUCGCAAGGGAAGAAAUUUUAUUGUCGAAUAAACAGUAAAGAUGACGGUACCUUGAGAAGAAGCACCGGCUAACUACGUGCCAGCAGCCGCGGUAAUACGUAGGGUGCGAGCGUUAAUCGGAAUUACUGGGCGUAAAGCGUGCGCAGGCGGUCUUAUAAGUCAGAUGUGAAAUCCCCGAGCUCAACUUGGGAACUGCGUUUGAAACUGUAAGACUAGAGUGUGUCAGAGGGAGGUAGAAUUCCACGUGUAGCAGUGAAAUGCGUAGAGAUGUGGAGGAAUACCAAUGGCGAAGGCAGCCUCCUGGGAUAACACUGACGCUCAUGCACGAAAGCGUGGGGAGCAAACAGGAUUAGAUACCCUGGUAGUCCACGCCCUAAACGAUGUCUACUAGUUGUUGGUGGAGUAAAAUCCAUGAGUAACGCAGCUAACGCGUGAAGUAGACCGCCUGGGGAGUACGGUCGCAAGAUUAAAACUCAAAGGAAUUGACGG
This 915-nucleotide ribosomal RNA is filed under the name uncultured marine bacterium. RNAcentral describes it as "bacterial SSU rRNA". It matches the Rfam family "Bacterial small subunit ribosomal RNA", at positions 8 to 916 of the family's 1533-position model. The record is from RNAcentral.